This 542-nucleotide transfer RNA is filed under the name uncultured Prochlorococcus sp. RNAcentral's name for it is "partial 16S-23S ribosomal RNA intergenic spacer". The stretch from base 212 to 284 matches the Rfam family "tRNA". The record is from RNAcentral. Lineage: Bacteria; Bacillati; Cyanobacteriota; Cyanophyceae; Synechococcales; Prochlorococcaceae.
CAGGGAGACAACAAAAUGUUUUAUAUUAUUAUUUUGUCACCUUAGGUCGAUCGGUAUCUCACAUUCUUAAUUUAUUAAGGAUUUCAUUUCCUAAGUUUUUCUAGGUCACACCCAUUAUUUUUCCUGGGCCAUUAGCUCAGGUGGUUAGAGCGCACCCCUGAUAAGGGUGAGGUCCCUGGUUCAAGUCCAGGAUGGCCCAUAUCUCUAUGUUGGGGGUAUAGCUCAGUUGGUAGAGCGCCUGCUUUGCAAGCAGGAUGUCAGCGGUUCGAGUCCGCUUACCUCCACUGAUUACCACCUCUUCCAUAAUCUGUAGAAAGGGAAUUUUUUGAGUCGUGACCAAAUUCUGAAAGAAUCUAGCUUCCUAAUGAAAUCAUUAAGAUGCUGGACUCAUUGAAUUAAUUUCAUUGUUUUCAGAGAACCUUGACAACUGCAUAGAUUAUUUUUUAAAGACAAUAAGCAUCUUUAAUGAUGCAGAUUUAUUAUUUGUGCGAAUGCAUUAAUAACAAUUCUAUUAAGCUGAUGCUUCAAUUUUUGAAGUUAUU